Molecule: long non-coding RNA, 869 nt
Filed under: Salmo salar (Atlantic salmon)
Lineage: Eukaryota; Metazoa; Chordata; Actinopteri; Salmoniformes; Salmonidae
Description: lncRNA (ENSSSAG00000103624.1)
Source: RNAcentral
AGAGAAGAGAGGGGUGGUAGUAGGUAGUAGUGGAGGUGGUGAGAGCAGAGAGGGGUGGUAGUUGGUAGUAGUGGAGGUGGUGAGAGAAGAGAUGGGUGGUAGUAGGUAGUAGUGGAGGUGGUGAGAGAAGAGAGGGGUGGUAGUAGGUGGUGGUGGAGGUGGUGAGAGAAGAGAGGGGUGGUAGUAGGUAGUAGUGGAGGUGGUGAGAGAAGAGAGGGGUGGUAGUUGGUAGUAGUGGAGGUGGUGAGAGAAGAGAGGGGUGGUAGUCGGUAGCAGUGGAGGUGGUGAGAGAAGAGAGGGGUGGUAGUAGGUAGUAGUGGAGGUGGUGAGAGAAGAGAUGGGUGGUAGUAGGUAGCAGUGGAGGUGGUGAGAGAAGAGAGGGGUGGUAGUUGGUAGCAGUGGAGGUGGUGAGAGAAGAGAGGGGUGGUAGUAGGUAGUAGUGGAGGUGGUGAGAGAAGAGAUGGGUGGUAGUAGGUAGCAGUGGAGGUGGUGAGAGAAGAGAUGGGUGGUAGUAGUGGAGGUGGUGAGAGAAGAGAUGGGUGGUAGUAGGUAGCAGUGGAGGUGGUGAGAGAAGAGAGGGGUGGUAGUUGGUAGCAGUGGAGGUGGUGAGAGAAGAGAUGGGUGGUAGUAGGUAGUAGUGGAGGUGGUGGACUAUGAACUCAGACUAUUGUGAUCCCAAAUAGCACCCCUUUUCCCUGAGUAGUGCACUACUUUUGACCAAGGACUCAUCACACCAAAGGGUAAAUGGAUGUAAUUUACGGGCCAUUUGGAACGCGUACUAGAAUACUAGCAGAUGUCCAGUUGCAAACAGUCUGUAAAUGCCCUGUACUGUGGUGAAUGGAGAGAUAGAGGGAUGGAGAGAUGGAGGG